Molecule: ribosomal RNA, 452 nt
Filed under: uncultured bacterium
Lineage: Bacteria
Description: bacterial SSU rRNA
Rfam family: Bacterial small subunit ribosomal RNA
Source: RNAcentral
ACUCCUACGGGAGGCAGCAGUGGGGAAUCUUGGACAAUGGGGGCGAACCCUCGAUCCAGCCAUGCCGCGUGAGUGAUGAAGGCCUUAGGUCGUAAAGCUCUUUCGCCUGUGAUGAUAAUGACAGUAGCAGGUAAAGAAACCCCGGCUAACUCCGUGCCAGCAGCCGCGGUAAUACGGAGGGGGUUAGGCGUUGUUCGGAAUUACUGGGGCGUAAAGCGCGCGUAGGCGGAUUAGUCAGUUAGAGGUGAAAUCCCAGGGCUCAACCCUGGAACUGCCUUUAAUACUGCUAGUCUUGAGUUCGAGAGAGGUGAGUGGAAUUCCGAGUGUAGAGGUGAAAUUCGUAGAUAUUCGGAGGAACACCAGUGGCGAAGGCGGCUCACUGGCUCGAUACUGACGCUGAGGUGCGAAAGUGUGGGGGAGCAAACAGGAUUAGAUACCCUGGUAGGAUAGCG